RNAcentral lists this long non-coding RNA (1507 nucleotides) under Macaca fascicularis (crab-eating macaque). RNAcentral's name for it is "lncRNA (ENSMFAG00000053141.1)". The record is from RNAcentral. Lineage: Eukaryota; Metazoa; Chordata; Mammalia; Primates; Cercopithecidae.
UUUUUUUUUUUUUUUUUUGUAUUUUUAAUAGAGACAGGGUUUUACCAUAUUGGCCAGGAUGGUCUUGAUCUCUUGACCUUGUGAUCUGCCCGGCUCGACCUCCCAAAGUGCUGGGAUUAUAGGCGUGAGCCACCAUGCCCGGCCUAUUUUUGUAUUUUCAGUAGAGUUGGGGUUUCACCAUGUUGGCCAGGCUGGUCUCGAACUCCUGACCUCAGAUGAUCCACCCAGCUCGGCCUCCCAAAGUGCUGAGAUUACAGGUGUGAGCUACUAUGCCCCGCCCACAUCAGCAAUUCUUAAUUUACAAACCAUGGAUUGGCUUCAGGAGAACCUAAGAACCAAUGCAAUCUGUUGGUAAAUUUUAUGUGUGCAAUUUUCUCCAGAGAGGGUCAACAGCAUAUAUAUUUUCAAAGAUGUCUGUGGUGCAAAAUAGGUAAGAGUGUAUUAUGUUAGAAGUCCUUGGGCGAUCAACUUCACUGGAUUGAGCACUGGAUUGAGGCUGGAUUGAGAAUGGGGACUGGUAUAGAUCAGGAUAAUGUUGAAUUUGAACCUCACUUGAGGCUUUUGUACAGAGGAUGAGAAGACAGGGUAAAUUCAAGGGAUAAUCAGAAAUUAAAAUCAGUAUGAUUUGGUGAUGAGUGAGAAGUGAAAGGUCAGAGAAAAACAUCAAGGAUGAAAUCAAGCUUCUGACUUGCAACAGUGAGUAUACCGAGAGUUACAGGCUAGAUGGAAGAUUAAUAAAAUUGGGAGCAUUCUGGUUUUCAUGAAGAAUGGCCAUGCGAUGUUCAGGGAGAAAUGGACAGUUGAAAAUGAGAGUCUAGCCAGGCACAGUGGCUCACUCCUGUAAUCCCAGCACUUUGGGAGGCUAAGGUGGGAGAACUGCUUGAGCCCAGGAGCAGGAGGCAACAGUGAGCCAGAAUUAUGCCACUGCACUCCAGCCCGAGCGACAGUGAGAUCCUGACUCCAAACAAACAAACAAACAAAGAAACACACACCACCAAAAAUCAAAAAAGAAACCCAAGUCCAGAGGCACAUAGCUGGGAGUCAGUUUUAGCUGAGAGAGUUAAGAUCAUCCAAUCAGUAUUAAGGAAGGAAGUCACUACUGGAGACCACCAAUACUUAAGAAAAAUGGGUAAAAUCAGAGGAAUUGAUAAAGGCCGGCUGAAAAAUGUUGGUGUCUAGCUCAAGAAAGGACGGGUUAGGUGGUAUAUAUUUAUUAAUAUGGAUCUAGAGAAGCAUUUGUUCACUAAUACAUUUUACUUGUGUUCUCUAAUUUAAAAUCACCUUUUCAUCUUGAUUUUCCUGCAGCUAAAUUAGAAAUUUAUAGUUUUCCCCUUAAAAAAUGCAGUGACGUUCUUUCUUAUAAAUUACAUUAUCUGAUUUUCUUGUCAGCCAGCUUCAAGGAAAUCCAUGUGUUCAAAAUGUCUGCUUGCAGUUUGCCCCAUACCAAAUGGUUGUUUAAUCCAAAUACUGAGCCGCAAACUGAGCUAAUCCUUCUGGAGAAAGGAUG